GGGGACAUAGCUCAGUUGGUAGAGUGCUUGUCUCAAAGGCACAAGGCCCUGGGUUCAAUCCCCAGUGCCACCA
RNAcentral lists this transfer RNA (73 nucleotides) under Marmota monax (woodchuck). It matches the Rfam family "tRNA". Rfam says of the family: Transfer RNA (tRNA) molecules are approximately 80 nucleotides in length. Their secondary structure includes four short double-helical elements and three loops (D, anti-codon, and T loops). Further hydrogen bonds mediate the characteristic L-shaped molecular structure. tRNAs have two regions of fundamental functional importance: the anti-codon, which is responsible for specific mRNA codon recognition, and the 3' end, to which the tRNAs corresponding amino acid is attached (by aminoacyl-tRNA synthetases). tRNAs cope with the degeneracy of the genetic code in two manners: having more than one tRNA (with a specific anti-codon) for a particular amino acid; and 'wobble' base-pairing, i.e. permitting non-standard base-pairing at the 3rd anti-codon position. Lineage: Eukaryota; Metazoa; Chordata; Mammalia; Rodentia; Sciuridae. The record is from Rfam by way of RNAcentral.